GAUGAACGCUGGCGGCGUGCCUAAUACAUGCAAGUCGAGCGAACAGACGAGAGUGCUUGCACUCUCUGACGUUAGCGGCGGACGGGUGAGUAACACGUGGGUAACCUACCUAUAAGACUGGGAUAACUUCGGGAAACCGGAGCUAAUACCGGAUAAUAUUUAGCUUCGCAUGAAGCAAUAGUGAAAGACGGUUCUGCUGUCACUUAUAGAUGGACCCGCGGUGUAUUAGCUAGUUGGUGAGGUAACGGCUCACCAAGGCAACGAUACAUAGCCGACCUGAGAGGGUGAUCGGCCACACUGGGACUGAGACACGGCCCAGACUCCUACGGGAGGCAGCAGUAGGGAAUCUUCCGCAAAGGACGAAAGUCUGACGGAGCAAUGCCGCGUGAGUGAAGAAGGUGUUCGGAUCGUAAAACUCUGUUGUAAGGGAAGAACAAGUACGUUAGUAACUGAACGUACCUUGACGGUACCUUAACAGAAAGCCACGGCUAACUACGUG
This 499-nucleotide ribosomal RNA is filed under the name uncultured bacterium. Its description in RNAcentral is "partial 16S ribosomal RNA". It matches the Rfam family "Bacterial small subunit ribosomal RNA", at positions 28 to 507 of the family's 1533-position model. The record is from RNAcentral.